This 584-nucleotide long non-coding RNA is filed under the name Piliocolobus tephrosceles (Ugandan red Colobus). Its description in RNAcentral is "lncRNA (ENSPTEG00000035926.1)". The record is from RNAcentral. Lineage: Eukaryota; Metazoa; Chordata; Mammalia; Primates; Cercopithecidae.
GAGGAGCAGGCAGCUGUGGUGCUGAGAUAGGAGCUUGAAAUGCUUCAUGGUGCCAAGACUGUCAUAAACGGCUCCUGGGGUCUGAAAAAACGACAGCAGGAUUCAGCGUUCCUCUGACAACCACUCAGAAAAUAGAAUGUGAAGAAGAAGGAGGAAGGGAAGAUGCGGGGCCAGCCAUCAGAAUGUUCCCUGUGGCUCCAUGGAUGCCUAGAAAUGCUAGUCACUUCAAGGGCACAGAAUGUCAAAUGACUGAAGUAAAAGAGGAAGUAACAUUGCUCAGGGAUGGAGAUUUGUGGCUUCUCUCUUUGGAAAGAUGAGAAAGGGACUAGAAAAUCCUCUGGAUGGGCCUUCAAAGGGAUGAAAUAUGGACCAUUAGCUGAGUCAGCUGACUCUUGUGUGAUUGGACCUCUGCCCAGUCCUCCCACACCCUCUGGUAUCGUCUUGCCCCUCCAUCUGGGGGAUCCAGCCCAUGGCCUUUUUGGUUUCUGAGGAAUCUUGCCUACAGUCUUCCCUCUGCUUGGGAUGUUCUUUACCCAAACACAGCGACUUGAUAAACACGGUAAUGUACUGCUGUACGCAACUAU